Molecule: ribosomal RNA, 285 nt
Filed under: uncultured bacterium
Lineage: Bacteria
Description: partial 16S ribosomal RNA
Rfam family: Bacterial small subunit ribosomal RNA
Source: RNAcentral
GGACGAACGCUGGCGGCGUGCUUAACACAUGCAAGUCGAGCGGUAAGGCCCUUUCGGGGGUACACGAGCGGCGAACGGGUGAGUAACACGUGGGUGACCUGCCCUCAGCUCUGGGAUAAGCCCGGGAAACUGGGUCUAAUACUGGAUAUUACUCUGCGGUGCAUGCCGUGGGGUGGAAAGCCUUGUGCGGCUGGGGGAUGGGCCCGCGGCCUAUCAGCUUGUUGGUGGGGUGAUGGGCCACCAAGGCGACGACGGGUAGCCGGCCUGAGAGGGCGACCGGGCCAC